GUGUGUGUGUGUGCAGGUUGCUGGUUGGAGCUCCCUUCGAGUCCACAGGGAAGCAGCAGACUGGUGAUGUGUUCAGGUGCCCGCUGGACACCAGAAACUCUGCAAACUGCACGAGACUGAAUCUCGGUAAACUCUCUCUGGACAACGUGUCUGAGAGGAAAGACAAGAUGAGACUCGGGAUGACGCUGACCUCCAACCCGAAGGACGGCAGCUUUGUGACCUGUGGUCCUCUCUGGUCCCAUGAGUGUGGAAGCUCCCUGUACAGCACCGGGAUCUGUUCCAGGGUCAGCCGCAACUUCAGACUGUCCCACACCAUCGCCCCGGCCCUGCAGAGUAAUCAGA
Molecule: long non-coding RNA, 342 nt
Organism: Anarrhichthys ocellatus (wolf-eel)
Lineage: Eukaryota; Metazoa; Chordata; Actinopteri; Perciformes; Anarhichadidae
Exons: 3
Source: RefSeq, a predicted model, not a curated record